GCCGGGCGUGGUGGCACAUACCUGUAGUCUCAGCUACACGGGAGGCUGAGGUGGGAGGAUCGCUUGAGCCCAGGAGUUCUGGGUUGCAGUGCACUAUGCCAAUCGGGUGUCCUCACUAAGUUUGGCAUCAGUAUGGCGACCUACCGGGAGUGGGGAACCACCAGGUUGCCUGAGGAAGGGUGAAUCAGCCCAGGUCAGAAAAGGAGCAGGUCAAAACUUUGGUGCUGAUCAGUAGUGGGAUUGCGCCUGUGAAUAGCCACUGCACUUCAGCCUGAGAAACAUAGAAAGACCCUGUCUCUA
Molecule: signal recognition particle RNA, 300 nt
Filed under: Callithrix jacchus (white-tufted-ear marmoset)
Lineage: Eukaryota; Metazoa; Chordata; Mammalia; Primates; Cebidae
Description: Metazoan signal recognition particle RNA (ENSCJAG00000074257.1)
Rfam family: Metazoan signal recognition particle RNA
About the family: The signal recognition particle (SRP) is a universally conserved ribonucleoprotein. It is involved in the co-translational targeting of proteins to membranes.
Source: Rfam by way of RNAcentral